GACGAACGCUGGCGGCGCGCCUAACACAUGCAAGUCGAACGGAGUGGCGAACGGGUGAGUAACACGUGAAUAACCUGCCCUGGAGUGGGGGACAACAGUUGGAAACGACUGCUAAUACCGCAUACGCUCAGAUGGAUUCGCGUCCAAUUAGCUAGAUGGUGAGGUAACGGCCCACCAUGGCAACGAUUGGUAGCCGGACUGAGAGGUUGAUCGGCCACAUUGGGACUGAGACACGGCCCAGACUCCUACGGGAGGCAGCAGUGGGGAAUAUUGCACAAUGGGGGAAACCCUGAUGCAGCGACGCCGCGUGGAGGAAGAAGGUCUUCGGAUUGUAAACUCCUGUCGUUGGGGACGCGGUACCCAACAAGAAAGCCACGGCUAACUACGUGCCAGCAGCCGCGGUAAAACGUAGGUGGCAAGCGUUGUCCGGAAUUACUGGGUGUAAAGGGAGCGCAGGCGGAAGGACAAGUUGGAAGUGAAACCCACGGGCUCAACCCGUGAACUGCUUUCAAAACUGUUUUUCUUGAGUGGUGUAGAGGUAGGCGGAAUUCCCGGUGUAGCGGUGGAAUGCGUAGAUAUCGGGAGGAACACCAGUGGCGAAGGCGGCCUACUGGGCACUAACUGACGCUGAGGCUCGAAAGCAUGGGUAGCAAACAGGAUUAGAUACCCUGGUAGUCCAUGCCGUAAACGAUGAUUACUAGGUGUGGGACCGUGCCGCAGUUAACACAAUAAUAUCCACCUGGGGAGUACGACCGCAAGGUUGCAACUCAAAGGAAUUGACG
RNAcentral lists this ribosomal RNA (782 nucleotides) under uncultured bacterium. RNAcentral describes it as "bacterial SSU rRNA". It matches the Rfam family "Bacterial small subunit ribosomal RNA", at positions 28 to 915 of the family's 1533-position model. The record is from RNAcentral.